RNAcentral lists this ribosomal RNA (253 nucleotides) under uncultured bacterium. RNAcentral describes it as "partial 16S ribosomal RNA". It matches the Rfam family "Bacterial small subunit ribosomal RNA", at positions 524 to 776 of the family's 1533-position model. The record is from RNAcentral.
UACGUAGGGGGCUAGCGUUGUCCGGAAUCAUUGGGCGUAAAGCGCGUGUAGGCGGUUCGGUAAGUCCGCUGUGAAAGUCGGGGGCUCAACCCUCGGAUGCCGGUGGAUACUGUCGGGCUAGAGUACGGAAGAGGCAAGUGGAAUUCCUGGUGUAGCGGUGGAAUGCGCAGAUAUCAGGAGGAACACCUAUAGCGAAGGCAGCUUGCUGGGACGUUACUGACGCUAAGGCGCGAAAGCGUGGGGAGCGAACAGG